Molecule: long non-coding RNA, 910 nt
Organism: Mauremys reevesii (Reeves's turtle)
Lineage: Eukaryota; Metazoa; Chordata; Testudines; Geoemydidae
Exons: 3
Source: RefSeq, a predicted model, not a curated record
CCGGAGCGGCCGCGGCCGGGGGGGCGCCCAGCCCGGCGGCCGCCGCCUCGCCGCUGGGCUCGGCCAGGUCCAGGAAGGCCUGGCGCAGCAGGCCGGGGCUGUCGCCCAGGGAGCAGCUGAGGGCGCUGGGCGGCUGCGGCGGCGGCUGCAGGAUGAAUCUGGAUCGCCAUUCCUGAGACCCAAAUAUUUCCUAAAUAGAAGAAGCUUUCAUUAGACGGGUGGCCUUCAGGACUGCUGAACAAACCUAGACACGUUCAAACAUGACAGGAACCGAGCUUGUCACCUCGGAUGGAUCACAUACAAUAUCUCCGGCGGAGCGAUAGUUACUUAAUAGGCAAUGAGAGACAACAGUUAUACCUGGUUCCCCUACACAAACUCUUCAAAUAGCUCCCUCACUGACCAGCUAAGAUUCUUAUCCUCUCAGCUACUAUGCUGACUUUUACACAGCCAUAGACACGGAUCUGAAUGAGAUUAAGUCCCGCUAGACUUUCCUGGUACGAUUUUUCAAGGGUUUUGUGAACCAGGCGUUGUUUAAACCAGUGGAAAUGAUUUAGAAAUCAUUUCCCCAAUCUUCCCCCUUCUCUCCUCCCCUGCCACAGAGGGGGUUGGGGGGGGGGAAGUCAUAUAUCAAUACUGGUGAAAGAUGUCAAUAAGAUUAAAAAAGACAAUUGGAAGAAAGUAAAAGUUUUACUCAAGCAAACAUCCUAUAAAAGGUCCCUAGCACCCUCCCUUUCCCCAAUUAAUUUAAUGUAUAACCUGCCUGUCCCUCCCCACUACACCCAUACACACACCCUGAACUUUAUGCAGAAAACCUGACCGGAGCUAACAUUGACCCGAACAGGCAGCGAGGAUGAAAUAUUUACCUCCUCAAUCACGGUGUUCUUUACAUGUGUGUCCUCCUGACCGGCUU